RNAcentral lists this long non-coding RNA (260 nucleotides) under Citrus x clementina. RNAcentral describes it as "Citrus clementina (C. clementina) long non-coding RNA (CCLE_LNC002057)". Lineage: Eukaryota; Viridiplantae; Streptophyta; Magnoliopsida; Sapindales; Rutaceae. The record is from RNAcentral.
CACAACAAUUCAAUUACAAAUCCACCACAACAUAAUACAACCAUCUAGUUCAAGAAACAAAAACGUGUUAAAAUGAGAUUGGAAACCCUUUCUAAAAAUCGAGCUUGAUAUAUGCUUGGGUACCGAGCUUAAUGAGCCAAAAAGCUUCUUUUGUUUUGCUAGAAAGCUUGACGUAGAUGAUGAAAAUAAAAUUGAGUGAACCAAAAUGUAAGAACUUGAGCUGAAAAUUGACGUUCAAAGUUUUCAAAAGUUGAUGCUCU